This 74-nucleotide transfer RNA is filed under the name Marmota monax (woodchuck). RNAcentral's name for it is "tRNA.Ala". The record is from RNAcentral. Lineage: Eukaryota; Metazoa; Chordata; Mammalia; Rodentia; Sciuridae.
GCUGGGGAUAUAGCUCAGUUGGUAGAGUGUUUGCCUUGCAUGCACAAGGCCGUGGGUUCGUUCAAUCCUCAGCA